RNAcentral lists this ribosomal RNA (253 nucleotides) under uncultured bacterium. Its description in RNAcentral is "partial 16S ribosomal RNA". It matches the Rfam family "Bacterial small subunit ribosomal RNA", at positions 524 to 776 of the family's 1533-position model. The record is from RNAcentral.
UACGUAGGGUGCAAGCGUUGUCCGGAAUUAUUGGGCGUAAAGAGCUUGUAGGCGGUUUGUCGCGUCUGCUGUGAAAUUUCGGGGCUCAACCCCGAACUUGCAGUGGGUACGGGCAGACUAGAGUGUGGUAGGGGAGACUGGAAUUCCUGGUGUAGCGGUGAAAUGCGCAGAUAUCAGGAGGAACACCGAUGGCGAAGGCAGGUCUCUGGGCCGAAAUUGACGCUGAGGAGCGAAAGCGUGGGGAGCAAACGGG